UGCUAAGGUAGCAUAAUAACUUGCCUCUUAAUUAGAGGAUAGAAUGAAAGGAAUCACGCCCUAACAACUUUCUAAAAAUUAAAUUAAUAAAAUUUACCUAAAAGUAAAAAGGCUUUUAUACAAAAGAAGGACAACAAGACCCUGACGAACUUACACAUAUUUAGCUGGGGCAGCUAAUAAAAAAAAACUUCAACCCAUUAACCUUUACACUUGACCCAGUAACAUUGAACAUUGAACAAAGUUACCGCAGGGAUAACAGCAUAAUCAAGCUCAAGAGACCCUAUCCACUGCUUGCCAUUUAACCUCGAUGUUGAAUUAACGAGCACUAUAUUCAGCAAAAAGAAUAAAAGUAGGUCUGUUCGACCUUUAAUUCGUUACAUGAUCUGA
This 387-nucleotide ribosomal RNA is filed under the name Sicarius vallenato. Its description in RNAcentral is "partial 16S ribosomal RNA". It matches the Rfam family "Bacterial large subunit ribosomal RNA", at positions 1949 to 2608 of the family's 2925-position model. The record is from RNAcentral. Lineage: Eukaryota; Metazoa; Arthropoda; Arachnida; Araneae; Sicariidae.